Molecule: long non-coding RNA, 201 nt
Organism: Dermochelys coriacea (leatherback sea turtle)
Lineage: Eukaryota; Metazoa; Chordata; Testudines; Dermochelyidae
Exons: 3
Source: RefSeq, a predicted model, not a curated record
AUUGGGGUAGGUAGCAGAGCAGUACCAUGAGAGGAGAAGAACAGGAAGUCAGCAGAAUUGAGACUUUUUAAAGUUUUGGCCCAAACGAGGGGGAAUGGGGGCGUCAUUUUGAGCUCCCUGCCUCAGGUGCCAAAAUGUUGUGGGCCGGCCCUGACAGGGGGUUGGACUAGAUGACCUUCUGGGGUCCCUUCCAACCCUGAU